RNAcentral lists this ribosomal RNA (460 nucleotides) under uncultured bacterium. RNAcentral's name for it is "partial 16S ribosomal RNA". It matches the Rfam family "Bacterial small subunit ribosomal RNA", at positions 338 to 795 of the family's 1533-position model. The record is from RNAcentral.
CCUACGGGCGGCAGCAGUGAGGAAUAUUGGUCAAUGGCCGGAAGGCUGAACCAGCCAUGCCGCGUGAAGGUCAGUGCCCUAUGGGCGUUAAACUUCUUUUGUGCGGGAGCAAUAAUGGUCACGUGUGGCCAGACGAGAGUACCGUACGAAUAAGCAUCGGCUAACUCCGUGCCAGCAGCCGCGGUAAUACGGGGGAUGCAAGCGUUAUCCGGAUUUAUUGGGUUUAAAGGGUGCGUAUGCUGUGAGGUAAGUCAGCGGUGAAAUGCCCCCGCUCAACGGGGUGAAGUGCCAUUGAUACUGCCUGGCUGGAAUGCGGAUGCCGUGGGAGGAAUGUGUGGUGUAGCGGUGAAAUGCAUAGAUAUCACACAGAACACCGAUUGCGAAGGCAUCUCACGAAUCCGCGAUUGACGCUGAUGCACGAAAGCGUGGGUAUCAAACAGGAUUAGAUACCCGGGUAGUC